AACCGGGCCGACUGCUGCCGGUAAACAACCAGAACCGGGCCGACUGCUUCCGGUAAACAACCAGAACCGGGCCGACUGCUUCCGGUAGACAACCAGAACCGGGCUGAAUAAACCAUUUUUGGAGCUGAUCUUGCAGCGGGUGGAGGCUCGGAUGGAUGACUCAGAAAGUGAAGUCAAACGCUGCGACACCUGGUGAAAUAUUUACAGUCCUGUAGGAGCGGCAGCCGGCAACAGUCGGUCGGUGAGGAAGCAGCUGUUUUUGGGUUCUCUGCCACCUCUGGCUGUGAGCCGAUAGGAGGAGAUCCGAGUGUCUGCUGACGGUAGCGAUGAUGAAGAUGUGAAGCAGCUCCUCUUCAUCAGCCGCUCUGGAGGAAACGGCAUUCGUCGCUCCCAGCAGCUCGGUGACAGAUUCGCUGCUACCUGUUGUUUUUCUGCACUCCAACGGCUGUGAUUCACCCAAACUGAGAUGUUUUCACCACCAUCUUUAUUCAUGUGUUAUAUAAGUGCUAACAAUGCAUGAAGCCACCCACCAGAACAGUUUAUCCCCAACGAGAACAGAGAAAUCAUCCAUUAUUAAAACAAAAGCCGAAGCUUCAUUUACAUAAACGCAGGUAAAAUGUCAGAUUUCUGAGGCCUUAAUAAAAACAUUCAAACCAGUAAAAUUCUGAUCAAUGAGAGAAAAAUCAAAGGAUCUGAAGGUAGAAAUGUAGAAAUGUAUCAGUCAGGAGACGACAAACAGCAGUGUUCCCUCAGAUGAACGUUGAGUAACCAUUGUCUGACCAUUUAUGAGGUCAGACACUGAUGUUGGCCGAGGAGGACCAAUUGAGAGAAGGACCGUUUCUCCCUCACUUCACUUCCCUCCAUGAUGCACCUCGGUUUGUGACCUGAAGCUCAAUUUAUUUCAGUUCAGUUUACUUAUAUACCACCAAAAAUAAUCAUUUUAAUUCAGUCACACUAAGAUUACCAACUGAUCCUUAAAGUCAAUUAAUCAAGCUCAGUUCAUUAUUCAGAUUAAUUUUAAAAACUUCUAUUUGGUCAUUGCCUUGCAGCAUUCAUUCCUCCUGGACCAGCAGGGGCCAACAUGGGCAGAAAAACCCCACACCCAUUCCCCAAAGUGCACCUCUGACAUUUUGUAACUACAUGAAAAAGACAUGGUGGAUGAGCAAGAAUGUCCUCCCAGCAGAGGUUCAGCCCAUAAAAACAAUCCUACCACCGUGUUGCUACUAACAACUGUUUGUUUUUUAUUUUGUUUUGUUGUUUUGGUUUUUUUUUUUACUUCUACGCAUGCUGCACGGUGUUGUACUCUUGCCCUCGGCGCCCUACACUGCCCCCUGGAGUGUAGGAGACUAUAGGCUACAGCAGGGUCGAUCCAGACAGAAAAUAAAGUUGUCAGCUUGAUUCAUAACAUCUAUUUUCCACACAAACUUUAGUUUUAGUCAGUUUUACUUCCUGACGGCGGAACCACUCUGGAAUCCACUGAACUUUGGAGAAAAAAAAAAUCUUCUUUAGUUUCACAUCAUGUUAUGUUAUUCGUGCAUCGAAAACAAACCUGGAGUGUUGCUUUGAUUCUUUCAUGCAUGUCUGAGAAAUCCUUUAAUCUCCAUGGCAACCAUUCAGCUGCAAACGCCUGGGUGAGCCCAGCUCUGGCUUUGGGUUGCAGCUUCUUCUCAAGAGCUUCAGUUUCCAAGCUUCGGCCUCACGGAGCAACCCAACCCUGUUACUCCAGCUCCUUCAGACUAGCCAGCAGCAAAUGGCUGGUGGAACUGCUGUAACUGCUGAGCUAGGAGGUACUUGUCAGAGCGACGCUGGUAAAAACGUUAAAGGGUUAAUUAAGGAGCCAUGUUGUGAUGACUUCCUGAAGACGGAGCUUCAAAAAGACCAGGAGCUUCGUAAAGAGACAGAGGCCCAAUUUUAAGGUGUUGAAUCAGGAAGUAGUAUUUCUUUAAGUUAUAUUUGAUAAAU
This is a non-coding RNA of Poecilia reticulata (guppy), 1962 nucleotides long. The record is from RefSeq and is a predicted model, not a curated record. Lineage: Eukaryota; Metazoa; Chordata; Actinopteri; Cyprinodontiformes; Poeciliidae.